This is a long non-coding RNA of Oncorhynchus tshawytscha (Chinook salmon), 844 nucleotides long. NCBI's taxonomy places the organism in Eukaryota, Metazoa, Chordata, Actinopteri, Salmoniformes, Salmonidae. The record is from Ensembl.
UGAUGGUGGUGGUUGUAGUAAUGAUGAUGAUGGUAGUGAUAGCAGUUUAGUGAUGGUGGUAGUAGUAGUAAUGAUGAUGGUAGUGAUAGCAGUUUAGUGAUGGUGGUGGUUGUAGUAAUAAUGAUGAUGGUAGUGAUAGCAGUUUAGUGAUGGUGGUGGUAGUAGUAAUGAUGAUGGUAGUGAUAGCAGUUUAGUGAUGGUGGUGGUUGUAGUAAUGAUGAUGAUGGUAGUGAUAGCAGUUUAGUGAUGGUGGUGGUAGUAGUAAUGAUGAUGAUGUUAGUGAUAGCAGUUUAGUGAUGGUGGUAGUAGUAAUGAUGAUGGUAGUGAUAGCAGUUUAGUGAUGGUGGUGGUAGUAAUGAUGAUGAUGGUAGUGAUAGCAGUUUAGUGAUGGUGGUGGUUGUAGUAAUGAUGAUGAUGGUAGUGAUAGCAGUUUAGUGAUGGUGGUGGUAGUAGUAAUGAUGAUGAUGGUAGUGAUAGCAGUUUAGUGAUGGUGGUAGUAGUAAUGAUGAUGGUAGUGAUAACAGUUUAGUGAUGGUGGUGGUGGUGGUAGUAGUAGUAAUGAUGAUGGUAGUGAUAGCAGUUUAGUGAUGGUGGUGGUUGUAGUAAUGAUGAUGAUGGUAGUGAUAGCAGUUUAGUGAUGGUGGUGGUAGUAGUAAUGAUGAUGAUAGUGAUAGCAGUUUAGUGAUGGUGGUGGUAGUAGUAAUAAUGAUGAUGGUAGUGAUAGCAGUUUAGUGAUGGUGGUGGUUGUAGUAAUGAUGAUGAUGGUAGUGAUAGCAGUUUAGUGAUGGUGGUGGUAGUAGUAAUGCUGAUGAUGGUAGUGAUAGCAGUUUAGUGAUGGUGGUGG